UACGUAGGUGGCAAGCGUUGUCCGGAUUUACUGGGCGUAAAGAGCGCGCAGGCGGUCGUUCAAGUCGCGUGUGAAAGCCCCCGGCUCAACUGGGGAGGGUCACGCGAUACUGAUCGACUCGAAGGCAGGAGAGGGUAGUGGAAUUCCCGGUGUAGUGGUGAAAUGCGUAGAUAUUGGGAGGGACACCAGUGGCGAAGGCGGCUCACUGGACCGGUACUGACGCUGAUGCGCGAAAGCGUGGGGAGCAAACAGG
Molecule: ribosomal RNA, 253 nt
Filed under: uncultured bacterium
Lineage: Bacteria
Description: partial 16S ribosomal RNA
Rfam family: Bacterial small subunit ribosomal RNA
Source: RNAcentral